This is a long non-coding RNA of Carassius auratus (goldfish), 553 nucleotides long. RefSeq lists it as uncharacterized. NCBI's taxonomy places the organism in Eukaryota, Metazoa, Chordata, Actinopteri, Cypriniformes, Cyprinidae. The record is from RefSeq and is a predicted model, not a curated record. The transcript is spliced from 3 exons.
GUCGUCGGUGAGGAGCUGGAGUUUUUUUAAGAUCAUUAUUAUCAUUUUGGAGUUGAUUUAGUAAACCUUGGGAAGAUUUCAUUCCUAAUCUGAUAUUUGUUUUGCAGAAUGCUGUGCAUGCAGUACUUGCAAACCUGGAUGGCCUUGUUCUUCACCACUUCACCACCCAGCAUUUCAACAUUUUUCCCUGUAUGCUUCUCUGAAUAUAACUUUAAAGGGGUAGUUUACCUAAAAAUAAAAUUGUAGUUCCAAACCUGCAGAGCUGUUAUCUUUCUUCUGAAGAAACACAGAAGAUGUCAGGACCCAAGAGCAAAGAAGGGACCCAAACUGGACCCAAUCAAAGACAUUUUUUUUGUGUUCCACAGAAGAAAAAGUUUUUACGAAAGUGAAAAAUACCAAUGCCUGGAACACACUGGAGAAACUGUUGGUAUCGAAAGGUCCACAGUGUGCUAGUGAGCCAACGAACACAGUCCAGACCACUGCAAUGGAUCAUCCAGAAGAGGGCAAUGUGAACCAACCCAAGCAUAAUAAACAAACCAAAGAGGGUUUUCAG